Molecule: unclassified non-coding RNA, 253 nt
Filed under: uncultured Solirubrobacterales bacterium
Lineage: Bacteria; Bacillati; Actinomycetota; Thermoleophilia; Solirubrobacterales
Description: contains 16S-23S intergenic spacer region
Rfam family: Bacterial small subunit ribosomal RNA
Source: RNAcentral
UACGUAGGUGGCAAGCGUUGUCCGGAAUUAUUGGGCGUAAAGCGCGCGUAGGCGGCCCUGUAAGUCCGCUGUGAAAGUCAAAGGCUCAACCUUUGAAUGCCGGUGGAUACUGCAGGGCUCGAGUCCGGAAGAGGCGAGUGGAAUUCCUGGUGUAGCGGUGGAAUGCGCAGAUAUCAGGAGGAACACCAAUAGCGAAGGCAGCUCGCUGGGACGGUACUGACGCUGAGGCGCGAAAGCGUGGGGAGCGAACGGG